RNAcentral lists this transfer RNA (65 nucleotides) under Agropyron cristatum. Its description in RNAcentral is "partial tRNA-Leu". It matches the Rfam family "tRNA", at positions 1 to 55 of the family's 71-position model. From Rfam's summary of the family: Transfer RNA (tRNA) molecules are approximately 80 nucleotides in length. Lineage: Eukaryota; Viridiplantae; Streptophyta; Magnoliopsida; Poales; Poaceae. The record is from RNAcentral.
GCCUUGAUGGUGAAAUGGUAGACACGCGAGACUCAAAAUCUCGUGCUGAAGAGCGUGGAGGUUCG